GAUGAUAUAGCUGAAGUGGUAGAGCUUAUGCUUAGCGUGCAUGAGGUCCUGGGUUCAAUCCCCAGUACUUUCU
Molecule: transfer RNA, 73 nt
Filed under: Camelus bactrianus (Bactrian camel)
Lineage: Eukaryota; Metazoa; Chordata; Mammalia; Artiodactyla; Camelidae
Also listed under: 1 other name
Rfam family: tRNA
About the family: Transfer RNA (tRNA) molecules are approximately 80 nucleotides in length. Their secondary structure includes four short double-helical elements and three loops (D, anti-codon, and T loops).
Source: Rfam by way of RNAcentral